Molecule: ribosomal RNA, 482 nt
Filed under: uncultured bacterium
Lineage: Bacteria
Description: partial 16S ribosomal RNA
Rfam family: Bacterial small subunit ribosomal RNA
Source: RNAcentral
GACGAACGCUGGCGGCGUGCUUAACACAUGCAAGUCGAACGCUGAAGCUCAGCUUGCUGGGUGGAUGAGUGGCGAACGGGUGAGUAACACGUGAGUAACCUGCCCUCUUCUUUGGGAUAACGCCCGGAAACGGGUGCUAAUACUGGAUAUUCACUGAUUCUCGCAUGGGGGUUGGUGGAAAGGUUUUUUCUGGUGGGGGAUGGGCUCGCGGCCUAUCAGCUUGUUGGUGGGGUGAUGGCCUACCAAGGCUUUGACGGGUAGCCGGCCUGAGAGGGUGACCGGUCACAUUGGGACUGGGAUACGGCCCAGACUGCUACGGGAGGCAGCAGUGGGGAAUAUUGCACAAUGGGCGAAAGCCUGAUGCAGCGACGCCGCGUGAGGGAUGGAGGCCUGCGGGUUGUAAACCUCUUUCGCUCAUGGUCAAGCCGCAGCUUUGGGUUGUGGUGAGGGUAGUGGGUAAAGAAGCGCCGGCUAACUACGUG